CGUCACGCGGCCGCGGGCGCUCGCUUGUGACCAGAAGGCUGGAGUUACGUAAUCUGCCCCUACAGCUAAAAGGACGGAGGCCUGACGGCGUGGCCUGGAGGGACGCGCUGAGCCCCUAAUGGGUGGUGCCUUCCUGGUGCGGCCGCACAGGCGGGGCCGGGCGGAAUCCAAGCACGAUGUGGACACGGAGCCUUGGGAAUGAACAGGAGCCUGCCUGUGGGAGCAUGUGGGAAAGGUUCAACUCAGGAAUGUUUCUUGGGAGCCAUCUCCUUGAAGUGUAAUUGUUGGCUGGGUGCGGUGGCUCACGCCUGCAAUCCCAGCACUUUGGGAGGCUGAGGCGGGCGGAUCACAAGAUCAAGAGAUCGAGACCAUCCUGGCCAACAUGGUGAAACUCUGUCCCUACUAAAAAUACAAAAAUUAGCUGGGCAUGGUGAAGCGUGCCUGUAGUACCAGCUACUCGGGAGGCUGAGGCAGGAGAAUCGCUUGAACCCGGGAGGCGGAGGUUGCAGUGAGCCGACAUAGCACCACUGCACUCCAGCCUGGAGACAGAGCGAGACUCUGUCUCAAAAACAAAGAAAGAAAAAAAUGCAAUUGUUAAGGGACGAAAGGGCCAAGAGUCCAGCUUCUUAGGAGGACAAAGGCUUAACUUGGCACCUGACUCCAAAUUGCAAAACCUACAUAAUGUGAUGGGCUAUCUCUACUUAGCUGCAUAGAAAAAGUGAGUUUCUGUCUUUGUGUUGCCUUUAGCAGGUUGCAUGUGAUGUACGGCAUCACAAUCUGGUUUAAUACUUAUUCAGUAAUGGUUUUCUGUCUCUUCUACCUUUGUGGAGAGGUUUCAUGGGUUGGGAGGAAACUACUCUCCACCCCCCACCCACCCCCAGGCAGAGGAAAGCACAUUGAAAGGUCCUGAAAUUGGGAAGGACAUGGUUUGCUGGUGAUACAGCUAAGUAUUACAAGUUUGUAGUGUUCUGGAAGGGUCUCAAUGAGGAGCGGGAGAUAAGGACGAUGUGUUCAAGGGUCUUGAAUGAUCAGGCUAGAAAAGUGAGAACGUGGUUCUAUAAGUAAAAGCAGAGCAGUGCUUGAAACUCGUAUUUUAUGUAUUGCACCUAGUAAAUACAUUCAAUCACUUUACAGUAUACAAAUCCCAUACUUCACUAAGUGUCAAAACCCUAACAGACAGAUAAGGCAGAACUGUUACUUCCAGAUUACUAACGUGGAAACUAAGCCCCACCCAAACAAGUUAAGUGGUUUGUUCAAGACCUCCUACAACAGGCUGGGCGCGGUGGCUUAUGCCUGUCAUCCCAGCACUUUGGGAGGCCGAGGCGGGGAGGCGGGUGGAUCACCUGAGGUCAGGAAUUUGGGGCUAGCCUGACUGACAUGGAGAAACCCGGUCUCUACUAAAAAUACAAAAUGAGCCGGGCGUGGUGGUGCCUGCCUGUAAUCCCAGCUACUUGGGAGGCUGAGGCAGGAGAAUUGCUUGAACCCAGGGGGCGGAGGUUGCGGUGAGCCGAGAUCGCGCCAUUGCACUCUAGCCUGGACAACAAGAGUGAAACUCCAUCUCAAAAAAAAAAAAAAAAAAAAGGACCUCCUACAACAGCCAGGGCCUGGUGCAGGUUGUCCUAGCACAGGGUUCACUGGUCUGUCCAUUCUGCCACUGCUAUGAGAUUGUAAUGGCCCAACAGGUUCACCUUGCCUGCUGCCUAGGCAGAACCAAUUUAUCAAGACAGGUGAAUUGCAAUAGAGAAAGAAUAAUUCAUGCAGAGCCAGCUGUGUGGGAAACUGGGACUUUUUUUAUUACUCAAAUGAGUCUCCCCAAGCAUUUGGAGGUCACAGUUUUUAAGGAUAAUUUGGAGGGUGGGUGGCAUCCAGUGAGUCAGGAGUGCUGAUUGAUCGGGUCAGAGAUGAAAUCAUAGGGAAUUGAAGCUGUCUUGUGCUUGAGUCAGUUCCUGGGUGGGGGCCACAAGAUCUGAUGAGCCAGUUUAUCGAUCUGGGUGGUGCCAGCUGAUCCAUCCAGUGCGAGGUCUGCAAAAUAUCUCAAGCACUGAUCUUAGACUUCAGUGAUGUUAUUCCCGGGAGCAAUUUGGGGAGGGUCAGAAUCCUGUAGCCUCUAGCUGCAUGACUCCUAAAUCAUAAUUUCUAAUCUUUUGGCUAAUUUGUUACUCCUACAAAGGCAUUCUGGUCCCCAGGCAAGAUGGGGGUUUGUUUUGGGAAAGGGCUAUUAUUGUCUUUCUUUUAAACUAUAAACUAAGUUCCUCCCAAAGUUAGUUCAGCCUACACUCAGGAAUGAACAAGGACAGCUUGGAAGUUAGAAGCAAGAUGGAGUUGGUUCGGUCAGAUCUCUGUCACUGUCUCAGUUAUAAUUUUGCAAUGGUGGUUUCAAGAUGAUGAAAGAGUACUGGGAAAGUAAAUAGCUACGAAGGGCCAGAGAAGGUGUGUUACUGAAGAAAGUGGGAUCUCCCAAGGGACUCAAAGAGAAGAGCUUUUUAACACAGUGAUAACCCCAAAAAAUUCACUAGAGAAGUGGGGGAUGCGGCCAGGCGCGGUGGCUCACACCUGUAUUCCCAGCACUUUGGGAGGCUGAGGUGAGCGGAUCACCUGAGGUCAGGAGUUCCAAGACCAGCGUGGCCAACAUGGUGAAACCCCGUCUCUACUAAAAAUACAAAAAUUAGCUGGGUGUGGUAGUGCAUGCCUGCGGUCCCAGCUACUCAGGAGGCUGAGGCAGGGGAAUCGCUUGAACUCAGGAGGUGGAGGUUGCAGUAAGCCGAGAUGGCGCCACUGUACUCCAGCCUGGGUGACACAGCGAGACUCCAGCUCAAAAACAAACAACAAAGAGCCAGGCGUGGUGGCUCACACCUGUAAUCCCAAUACUUUGGAAGGCAGGUUAGGAGUUCAAGAGCAGGCUGGCCAACAUGGUGAAACGCCAUCUCUACUAAAAAUACAAAAAAUUAGCCGGGCAUGGUAGCACACGCCUGUGAUCCCAGCUACUUGGGAGGCUGAGGCAGGAGAAUUGCUUGAACCUGGGAGGCAGAGGUUGCUUGAACCCAGGAGGCAAAGCCAAGUUUGUGCCAUUGCACUCCAGCCUGGGCAAUAGAGUGAGACUCUGUCUCAGAAAAAAAAGAGAAGGGGAGAUGCUUACUUAUUAUCAAAGUAAUUAGAGGCCAGACAUCGUGGCCUGUAAUCCCAGCACUUCAGGAGGCUCAGACAGGAGGAUUGCUUUAGCCCAGGAGUUCAAGACCAGCUUGAGCAACAUCACAAAACCCGUCUCUACAAAAAGUUUAAAAAUUAGCCAGUCAUGGUGGCGUCCGCUGAUAGUCCCAGCUACUCAGGAGGCUGAGGUGGUGGGAAGAUCACUUGAGCCCCAGAGGUUGAGGCUGCAAUGAGCUGUGAUUAUGCCAAUGCAUUCCAGCUUGGGUGACACACCCAGACCCCGUCUCAAAAACAAAACAAAAAAAACAAAAUCUGAAAGGAUGCCAAAACAUAAAAAUCACAUUAUCAGUUUAAUUGUGAUUUUGCUGGGAAACUGCAUGAGACUGGCACAAAGAGAGAAACAUGACAGCAGUAUUUUAACUGCUUAUCAGAAUACUAAAAAUAACUUUCUUCAAACCCACAUCUCAAAUGAGUAAUUCCAUUGUUCUUCCAGGCCAACUAGUGACGCACGAUAUUUUUCUUCUUAGUUCAGCUAAAAUCUGGGCUCUUGUCUCCCGAUCAGGAAAAAUUAGGCACAUGGACACAUUGAAGGGUCAGAAUGUAUUAAGUGAAAAGAAAGCCCUUAGCAAAGAGGUGGUCCUGCCAACAGGCUCCUACUCCACAGACUGAAUAUCAGGCCACCAUACUGGAGCUGAAGAAGCCCGGCUCCCCUGCAUAAAGCAUGAAUUCCUGGUGGCUCCACCCCAUUUCCCCAGUGCACAUGUAGGCCUCUAAUCUGAGCCACUCCACACUGAUUUAUUUCCCUUACUGCACAUGUGUUAAGGGAUAGAAUUUUUCACUGUAGGCAUGUUUAGGCAAGCCCCCUGUGCAUAAUGACCUGGAUGGCAUUUGGCUGUCUCCCGCCUCUAUCAGUAGCAUAUUUAGGGGAGGAAAGAUGAAUUUUCUUGCUACCCUUCUAAAUUCUCAGCUAGAGUCCUUGUAACAAAAGAUAGAUUUUUUUUUUUUGAGACAGGGUCUCACUGUGUCUCCCAGGCUAGAGCACAGUGGUGCUAUCAUGGCUCACUGCAACCUCCACACCCCCAGGCUCAAGUGAUCCUCCCAUCUCAGCC
This 4256-nucleotide long non-coding RNA is filed under the name Homo sapiens (human). RNAcentral describes it as "HSALNT0122133". The record is from RNAcentral. Lineage: Eukaryota; Metazoa; Chordata; Mammalia; Primates; Hominidae.